RNAcentral lists this long non-coding RNA (681 nucleotides) under Anas platyrhynchos platyrhynchos (common mallard). RNAcentral's name for it is "lncRNA (ENSAPLG00000027643.1)". The record is from RNAcentral. Lineage: Eukaryota; Metazoa; Chordata; Aves; Anseriformes; Anatidae.
CUGUGAGAGACAGCACUGCAUAUAAAUCCUAUAAAUUUUCAUUCUGUCUGUAUUUUAAAAGCCAGGAAUAAGAGCUGAUUUAUCCCUGCUUUUUGUUUUGUUUUGUUUUGUUUGUUUGUUUGUUUGUUUUCCUUUAAGAACUGUGCAUUCUUAAUGUGUUCUGUUCAUCAGUACAGGUGGUUAUACCUGUAUUUUGUACUUCGACUACCUAAUCUGCUCUUAUUUCUGUAUUCCUGUUCAUUCCAGGAUCCAGUCUUGCCUAAUAAAAGAACUACUUAGUACUGAAUUUCCAAGCUUAUUCAAGUUCACUUUUAUGAGUACAUCAAUCUCUGCAGUCUGAGGCAACUCAGGAGGAGUAAUGGAGGUUGCUCCUGUAGAUCCUUUGGAUCCUUCUCUCCCACACUCAGCUCUUUACCAGGAAAGCAGUCUCUCUUCUAAAGGCAACUGGGAGAGAACAAGGACAGAGAGGUGUUCAGUAGCACAGGAGCUGCAUUUGUGUUUUAAGUUCUGAGUCAAUCAAGGAAAAAAGUGGAAGGAAAAGAAACAUGUAAGUAUGGAGAAUGGAUAGUAUAGCAUACGUAGUAUACACAUCGUAUAAGGCUACGUAACUAGUAGUUUAUGCAUAAAGCACAUAGUGCAGCUAUCCAUAACUCUUGAGAAAACAAGGUAUACUUAGCUACU